AACGUAGGUGGCGAGCGUUAUCCGGAUUUACUGGGCGUAAAGCGUGUGCAGGCGGGGCUCCAAGUGGUGUAUGAAAUUUCCCAGCUUAACUGGGAGAGGUUAUGCCAGACUGGAGUUCUAGAGUGCGAGAGAGGGGCGUGGAAUUCCGGGUGUAGUGGUGAAAUGCGUAGAGAUCCGGAGGAACCCCAGAGGCGAAGGCGGCGCCCUGGCUCGCAACUGACGCUCAGACACGACAGCAUGGGGAGCGAACGGG
RNAcentral lists this ribosomal RNA (253 nucleotides) under uncultured bacterium. RNAcentral's name for it is "partial 16S ribosomal RNA". It matches the Rfam family "Bacterial small subunit ribosomal RNA", at positions 524 to 776 of the family's 1533-position model. The record is from RNAcentral.